AGAAUCAACGCUGGCGGCGUGCCUAACACAUGCAAGUCGCACGAGAAAGUGGAGCAAUCCAUGAGUACAGUGGCGCACGGGUGAGUAACACGUGACUAACCUACCCUUGAGUGGGGAAUAACCUGGAGAAAUCUAGGCUAAUACCGCAUAACACCUACGGGUCAAAGGAGCAAUUCGCUUAAGGAGGGGGUCGCGGCAGAUUAGCUAGUUGGCGGGGUAAUGGCCCACCAAGGCAGUGAUCUGUAUCCGGCCUGAGAGGGCGCACGGACACACUGGAACUGAAACACGGUCCAGACUCCUACGGGAGGCAGCAGUGGGGAAUUUUGCGCAAUGGGGGAAACCCUGACGCAGCAACGCCGCGUGGAGGAUGAAGUCCCUUGGGACGUAAACUCCUUUCGACCGGGAAGACUAAUGACGGUACCGGAAGAAGAAGCCCGGCUAACGUUCGCGCCAGCAGCCGC
Molecule: ribosomal RNA, 461 nt
Filed under: uncultured bacterium
Lineage: Bacteria
Description: SSU rRNA
Rfam family: Bacterial small subunit ribosomal RNA
Source: RNAcentral